GGGCCAUGGUAGGGGACUACGGCCAUAAGGCUGAGGAAACUCCGACCUCCAAACCUAAAGAGAGCUCCGACAUGGAGCAAGGGGAGAUCCCUUGGCUACUACACAGAAACGAAGUCAUUUAGCUCUAGAUGAAGAUGAACCGAUCCUCAAGCAUGUAAAUGCUAGAGGUAGGCGAGAUGAGCUAAAGUGGCUUGAAACGGUAGACCUCUCUGGAGCAAGUAGGAGGGAUAUGAGCGAGGUUCGAUCCCUCUAAUAACGCAAAGCCAAAUUCCCCAGGUACAGAAGUCGGGUUAUUGCCAUGGCCC
This 305-nucleotide RNase P RNA is filed under the name Sulfuracidifex metallicus. RNAcentral's name for it is "RNase P RNA component". It matches the Rfam family "Archaeal RNase P". From Rfam's summary of the family: Ribonuclease P (RNase P) is a ubiquitous endoribonuclease, found in archaea, bacteria and eukarya as well as chloroplasts and mitochondria. Its best characterised activity is the generation of mature 5'-ends of tRNAs by cleaving the 5'-leader elements of precursor-tRNAs. The record is from RNAcentral. Lineage: Archaea; Thermoproteati; Thermoproteota; Thermoprotei; Sulfolobales; Sulfolobaceae.